Molecule: small nucleolar RNA, 131 nt
Filed under: Marmota monax (woodchuck)
Lineage: Eukaryota; Metazoa; Chordata; Mammalia; Rodentia; Sciuridae
Rfam family: Small Cajal body specific RNA 24
About the family: scaRNAs are a specific class of small nuclear RNAs which localise to the Cajal bodies and guide the modification of RNA polymerase II transcribed spliceosomal RNAs U1, U2, U4, U5 and U12.
Source: RNAcentral
ACUGGACAUUUAUUUUUAUUCAGUUUCUUCUCAAAGUGAAGGAAACUCUUUGUAAAUGUCCUAGAGAAAUACAGUAGCUUUCUGUUCACCUUUUGUAAGCAAAAAGGGUGGAUCGUUCCACUACUGACAUU